Molecule: long non-coding RNA, 1074 nt
Organism: Clupea harengus (Atlantic herring)
Lineage: Eukaryota; Metazoa; Chordata; Actinopteri; Clupeiformes; Clupeidae
Source: Ensembl
CAGGCUUAUGUAUAGGCACCCGGGGUCCUAAAGCCGGUAGCUCGUCAACACCACUGGUUCUGGGAUUGUGUAGCAGAGUCACGGGUGCUGCGUGAAAUAAACAGGAGGGCAGACGCUGGCAGAGCCGCUGUGUUUUGAUGUACGUGUGUGGGCGUGACGCCGUGUUGUGUGCAAAAAGUGUCUGCUGGGCACUGUUACCAUAGCAGAGAGGGCAGUUAUUCUCCAGAAGCCAUCAGCCACAGUGUAGUAGCCAUCUUGAAAAGCGUUAGACCCUCGCAGCUACCCAGGGCUGCUAGUUGCUGUUCUCUUUUAAUGUGUAUUUGAUGCAUUGGUGCCGCGUAUAGUUUGUUUACUUUUUUUUGUUCCUCUAGCCUAUCGGCCUAAGUAGCUUGUGUAGGUACCACCUAUUUAAUGUGAGCCGCAGGCUAGAGUGGAUUUAUUUUGUUUGUUUUUCUUUUUUACUGUACUUCCAGUUCGUGUGUCUCCCUCCCCCCUCCACAGCUAAUAGCCUCGGUGCUUAUGAGGCCCAUUAGUACCUGACCUUGGAUAGCCGGUCUCUGUAGUUUUUCUCACUCUAGUAGCCUACAGAGAUUGCAGUGUGCAUGUAGUUUGAACUCUUAAUUGCCGUGUCACAUAUCACAGAGUGUCUUGGAUAUUGUAGUGCAUUUUCCCUGAAUCUAAAACACGUGCUAUUUAGUGUGCACAAGACCACGUGUGUUAGAGACCUGGCCUGACAUCAGUUCUCCUAGUGGCCCAGUACCGAGGUUCCCCAGUCCCCCUACUGUGUCUAUGUAUUUUUUUUUUGUAUUAUAUCUGGUGACCAACCAACGCUACUCGUGUCUACUAUUUAUUAAUAAAGACUAUUUUUAUACUUUCACCAAAAACUGGCAAUAGUGUUAUUGAGUUCCCCUUGCUCUGACAUAAUUUAGCCCACUUCAAGGGGUGGCGUAGUCAACAGUACCCGAGAGGGCGCUACACACGUGAAAAGAAUGAAAUGAUCAAACUAUACUUUACAAGUCCAGUCUGGAUCUCGGUAAGGUCACCUGAAAUAAAUAGUAGUUAGGCUUCAGAAUC